RNAcentral lists this ribosomal RNA (488 nucleotides) under uncultured bacterium. RNAcentral's name for it is "partial 16S ribosomal RNA". It matches the Rfam family "Bacterial small subunit ribosomal RNA", at positions 30 to 507 of the family's 1533-position model. The record is from RNAcentral.
AUUGAACGCUGGCGGCAGGCCUAGCACAUGCAAGUCGAACGGUAACAGGGAUCAGCUUGCUGAUUCGCUGACGAGUGGCGGACGGGUGAGUAAUGUCUGGGAAACUGCCUGAUGGAGGGGGAUAACUACUGGAAACGGUAGCUAAUACCGCAUAACGUCGCAAGACCAAAGAGGGGGACCUUCGGGCCUCUUGCCAUCGGAUGUGCCCAGAUGGGAUUAGCUAGUAGGUGGGGUAACGGCUCACCUAGGCGACGAUCCCUAGCUGGUCUGAGAGGAUGACCAGCCACACUGGAACUGAGACACGGUCCAGACUCCUACGGGAGGCAGCAGUGGGGAAUAUUGCACAAUGGGCGCAAGCCUGAUGCAGCCAUGCCGCGUAUGAAGAAGGCCUUCGGGUUGUAAAGUACUUUCAGCGGGGAGGAAGGGAGUAAAGUUAAUACCUUUGCUCAUUGACGUUACCCGCAGAAGAAGCACCGGCUAACUCCGUG